CCUACGGGUGGCAGCAGUGGGGAAUAUUGGGCAAUGGGCGCAAGCCUGACCCAGCAACGCCGCGUGAAGGAAGAAGGCUUUCGGGUUGUAAACUUCUUUUGUCAGGGACGAAGCAAGUGACGGUACCUGCAAAGGAAGCACCGGCUAACUCCGUGCCAGCAGCCGCGGUAAUACGGAGGGUGCGAGCGUUAAUCGGAAUUACUGGGCGUAAAGCGCUCGUAGGCGGUAUGUCAAGUCAAGGGUGAAAUCCCCGCGCUCAACGUGGGAACUGCCUUUGAAACUGGCAAACUGGAGUGUGUGAGAGGAUAGUGGAAUUCCAGGUGUAGGAGUGAAAUCCGUAGAUAUCUGGAGGAACAUCAGUGGCGAAGGCGACUAUCUGGCACAUAACUGACGCUGAGGAGCGAAAGCGUGGGUAGCAAACAGGAUUAGAUACCCGAGUAGUC
RNAcentral lists this ribosomal RNA (443 nucleotides) under uncultured bacterium. RNAcentral describes it as "partial 16S ribosomal RNA". It matches the Rfam family "Bacterial small subunit ribosomal RNA", at positions 338 to 795 of the family's 1533-position model. The record is from RNAcentral.